GCUUACCAUGCAGUCGACGAUGAACCUGCAGCUUGCGCCUGGAUUAGUGGCGAACGGGUGAGUAACACGUGAGUAACCUGCCCUUAACUCUGGGAUAAGCCUGGGAAACUGGGUCUAAUACCGGAUAUGACUCCUCAUCGCAUGGUGGGGGGUGGAAAGCUUUUUGUGGUUUUGGAUGGACUCGCGGCCUAUCAGCUUGUUGGUGAGGUAAUGGCUUACCAAGGCGACGACGGGUAGCCGGCCUGAGAGGGUGACCGGCCACACUGGGACUGAGACACGGCCCAGACUCCUACGGGAGGCAGCAGUGGGGAAUAUUGCACAAUGGGCGCAAGCCUGAUGCAGCGACGCCGCGUGAGGGAUGACGGCCUUCGGGUUGUAAACCUCUUUCAGUAGGGAAGAAGCGAAAGUGACGGUACCUGCAGAAGAAGCGCCGGCUAACUACGUGCCAGCAGCCGCGGUAAUACGUAGGGCGCAAGCGUUAUCCGGAAUUAUUGGGCGUAAAGAGCUCGUAGGCGGUUUGUCGCGUCUGCCGUGAAAGUCCGGGGCUCAACUCCGGAUCUGCGGUGGGUACGGGCAGACUAGAGUGAUGUAGGGGAGACUGGAAUUCCUGGUGUAGCGGUGAAAUGCGCAGAUAUCAGGAGGAACACCGAUGGCGAAGGCAGGUCUCUGGGCAUUAACUGACGCUGAGGAGCGAAAGCAUGGGGAGCGAACAGGAUUAGAUACCCUGGUAGUCCAUGCCGUAAACGUUGGGCACUAGGUGUGGGGGACAUUCCACGUUUUCCGCGCCGUAGCUAACGCAUUAAGUGCUCCGCCUGGGGAGUACGGCCGCAAGGCUAAAACUCAAAGGAAUUGACGGGGGGCCCGCACAAGCGGCGGAGCAUGCGGAUUAAUUCGAUGCAACGCGAGAUCCUUACCAAGGCUUGACAUGAACNGUA
Molecule: ribosomal RNA, 935 nt
Filed under: Arthrobacter sp. P7(2010)
Lineage: Bacteria; Bacillati; Actinomycetota; Actinomycetes; Micrococcales; Micrococcaceae
Description: bacterial SSU rRNA
Rfam family: Bacterial small subunit ribosomal RNA
Source: RNAcentral